Molecule: ribosomal RNA, 465 nt
Filed under: uncultured bacterium
Lineage: Bacteria
Description: partial 16S ribosomal RNA
Rfam family: Bacterial small subunit ribosomal RNA
Source: RNAcentral
CUACGGGGUGCAGCAGUGGGGAAUAUUGGACAAUGGGGGAAACCCUGAUCCAGCAAUGCCGCGUGUGUGAAGAAGGCCUGCGGGUUGUAAAGCACUUUCGGUUGGGAGGACUGCUUCUAGCACUAAUAUUGUUGGAAGUUGACGUUACCUUCAGAAGAAGCACCGGCUAACUCCGUGCCAGCAGCCGCGGUAAUACGGAGGGUGCAAACGUUAAUCGGAAUUACUGGGCGUAAAGCGCGCGUAGGCGGCUAGAUCAGUCGGGUGUGAAAGCCCCGGGCUUAACCUGGGAACUGCAUCCGAUACUGUCUAGCUUGAGUACAGGAGAGGAGAGUUGAAUUCCACAUGUAGCGGUGAAAUGCGUAGAUAUGUGGAGGAACACCAAUGGCGCAGGCAGCUCUCUGGACUGAUACUGACGCUGAGGUGCGAAAGCGUGGGGAGCAAACAGGAUUAGAUACCCGGGUAGUC